AUUUAAAAACAUCCUAUGUUAUUGUUCAAC
This 30-nucleotide non-coding RNA is filed under the name Clostridium tetani E88. Lineage: Bacteria; Bacillati; Bacillota; Clostridia; Eubacteriales; Clostridiaceae. The record is from RNAcentral.